Scleropages formosus (Asian bonytongue) is the source of this 1767-nucleotide long non-coding RNA. The record is from Ensembl. Lineage: Eukaryota; Metazoa; Chordata; Actinopteri; Osteoglossiformes; Osteoglossidae.
GGAACAUAACUGAGUGUUGUCUUAUUUUUCCAUUGUGAGCCACUGCAGACCAUGAGAUUUAUUCAAGAAAUGCCACUGUCACAGGACAGCCCCUUUUUAGUUGCACAGCAACUGAGCCUACUUAUUCGAUACACUUAAAAAGUAUGAACUUGCCAAAUCUCAGAAAAGCUAGUCUCAAAAUUCCUGUUCCAAAUUCCUACCUGUGUUCUAGGGUGAGUUUGAGAAGUGAUGCACCCCAUCAUUUUUAAGGAUGAAAAAUGGAUUCAGCAGUGUGGUGAGGAAGGCUCGCAGAUUUAUGACAUCCUCCAUUGAAGAGAAAUUUGGCUGUGCACAGAGCAAAGAUCAAUCCCCUGGGUCCCAGCCUGGGCUACCUGGAACACAUCUGCCAGCUCAUUGAGAAGAUUGGGCAACUGCAGGAACACAACCUAAGGCUCCAGAGGCAGCUCAGCAGCCUUCAGAAGGAAAACAGGACCAAGAACACCAAGGAGGAGUUCUUCCUCCAGCAGUGCUGCUGUGGUGCUGCCAGCCUGACUUUCCAGGAGACAAAACUGCACUCCAGGAGUGAUUUCAGCAGCUUGACAGCUUCCAACAGUGCCCUGUCCGACUUGUCCACAAUCCCAGAAGUCACACAGCAGACUGGAAAGGCAGCCGCAACAGAGGGCGAAAGUAGAUGGUACCCACUAGUAUCCUUGAGGAGGAAGGCACUGAACAGGAGGAGCUACACAGAAGGGGAGUCCAGGUACCUAUGUGAGAGCAGUGAAGGAUUCUCUGCUACCUACAGGCGGCUGAGUGAAAUUCAGCACCCAUGGGUCAGAAUGAAAGAGUUGGUGAAGAAGACUAGGUUGAGGAACCAGAGCUCCUGCUCACUGAAGAGCUCAUGCCCACAACUAUACCGGCCUGACCUGGGACCGGUGGAGCUUCCCAGGAGAGACAGGAAUUCAAUGAUUGCGCUGGGCCAUCAAACCAAAUUGGAUUUCCUCUGGCAGCAGUAGUGUCAAACAGUCAGAAGAUGUCCCGCGUCGUGACAGGGAAGGUCCUGGAGGAGGAGAUAAAGCCAGUGUGCACAGAAAGUGGACCUAAAUGUGAGGAAAGGGAAGAUGAGGAGAAAACAGCUAAAGUUGGUUAACGCAGAGCCAAACAUGACAAGGAAGAAAGUUGUUAAAGAAAGAACAUGUAAACUAAUGGAUUUAUUGUUUUGGGUCAACAUGGAGAUUUUGGUUUGUUCCAAAUUUCUGAACAAAAUACAUUUAUAGUUUUUGUACACAGUAGAAAUAAUUCAUCUGUUACACCGGUGUUUAAUAUAGACUGCAAGUAUUUCAGAAACACUCUGGAAUCCUGUACAGAGGCCUACAAUACUCCGUACCUUCAUAUGAAAUAUGAAAUGAAAUGUAUUUCUUUCAUUAAGACCACAUUUUGCUAUUUGCUGCACCAAAGAAAGAGCCAUAGACAAGUAACUUUUCUUCUUCUGAGCCAUUAACUUUACUUAUUUAAAAGUGUAUUACAGUACCUUAAAUAGACAAAGCCAUAUAACCAAGUGUAUAAGUGAAAUCACUCCUUCCAAGUCCGUCCAUCAUAUGGUCCAAAUAUCAGAAAUUUCUUUGGCUAACAGUUUCUGACUGGCAUCGCGAUACCCCCACCUGUUUUUGGUUAGACAUGUGUGCUUCUGAUGUAGUCCAGUCCUGCAGUUCUGACACAUUUGAUGUUUAUGUUGCCUCAUUUUUCAUAAAGACUAACUCUAAAGUAUAAUAAAAGGGUGCCUGUCGGACA